UGACAUUUUUGUGUGUUGAUUACAUAUAUAGCUUAAAACAUAUAUAAUCUAAUGUGUUGCUAUCAUUAUUUUCAGCAAUCCUAUUAGUAAAUUAAGAAUAAGAAAAAUAAAAUUUAUGUUUUACUGCUAUUUUUCUUUUCUUCUCUCAUGUUCUUCAUUUUUACGUAGAUCCAAGUUUUCUUCCUCUCCAGAAAACUGUUAGCAUUUCUUGCAAGUAGUCUUCUGGCAACAAAAUGUACAAUUUUUGCUUGCCAAACAUUUAUUUCUUCUUCACUUUAGAAAGACAAGUCUCAGGGUACCAAAUUUCAGGUUGGUAGUUUUUUCUCUCCAUGCUUAAAAUAUUUUUCUCCACUCAGUUUUUCCUUGUGUGGUUUCUGAGGAGAAGUCAGAUAUGUUUGCUCCCCCAUGGAUUGUUUUUUCUGCACAAGCUGCAUUCAGGACUUGUUUAUGGGAGACUGCUGUAUAUAAUGAAUAUCAGGAAGCCUUUGGAGAAGUUGUUUUUGUUUUUUUUAAGGAAGUAUGGGAGGAGAUAUGGAUCAGUUUUUAAAAACUCGGAGGAAGCAGACCUGUUUAAACUACAUACUUCUAAGUAAUGAAACUAAGCAUGGAUGUUGGUGAGCUACAUCAUGCAUGAGAUUUAAAAUAGCACUCUUAAUUAAAAACACAACUUUCAAGAGCAUCGGUUAACAGAGAGUAUUGAAUUUGCCUCUAUGCUUUUUCAGUGUACUGCAAAGUAAGCAUUUUGGGCAAGGACCACGUGUCAGAUUUAUCUUCGAAUCUCUCUUGCCUGCUAAAGGUAGUGGCAUGAUAGGCCUGAAUAUGUGCUUAAAUGAGUCAAUUAAGGAAUGUAGUCAUGUAUUAAAUUCAAAUCAAACUUCAUGGUGUUUGAUGUCAGAAUUGUGUAACUAAAUAACUUUAGGUUCUAAAAUAUCAACAUGGUAUUUCACUUGGAGAAAAUGUAGAUUAAUGGCUCUGAUUUUGAAACUGCUUCCUUCUUUCUCACAAAGUGCAGUAAACCUUGGGUGACAGUCAUGAAGCCUCUUCUUACUGCAGCUAAGUAAGGUAGACCUACUAUGGCUCAUUUCCCUCAUUUGUAGCACUGAGUUAGGUUGUCUGAAUAACUACCAAGAGUUUUGCCAUACCAUUCUUGUUCAUUCUGGGUUGUCUGGUCUGCAUUGAUAUCUGUCACAGAUUUCCAGUCACUACUGGAAAACAUUUAGUUCGCUUGCUGUAUACAGAACAGUUCCAGACUCCGCUGCUGGGAUAGAAAAUAUAUCUCAUUUGGAGUUUUACCCUGGAGAUACAAUUUGAAAUAGAAUGAAAACCAUUGGCAUAGAGUCCCUUUUAAAGAUUUACCUGUUGUAGAAGCAUUAGAAAGAAAGCAUAUUAAGGGCAAAGAUAAAUAUUUACUUAAAUGAUUAAAACAUCUUGAGUUUUUUUUGCUAUGGGCCUGAUGUCAUAAAAUUAUAUUUAAGCGAUUGUGAUAAUUUUGAAACCAUAGAUACAGAGGUUAGUAUGCAUUGAGAGGUACAUAAUGUGUAUACUGUUAGCUUGCUUGAAUUAAGGGUAGCCAUUGUAUAUUUUAAAUUACUUUAAUAUUUAAAUUUGUAUUGGUUUAGAAAAUGGAAGGUGUGGUCUUUUGAGAGUUGGCCUUAAUCCUCAAGUAGGUUGGCUUACACUCAAUUUCAGGGAAACAACACACAUAUGCAUAGUAGGAUAACUCAAACAGUAGGCUUUGUAAGGCAAAAAGUCUAUGAAUAUCAUGGAGAAUAAGAAUUCCAGGCUUUUAUUUUUCAAUAUUUAUUAAUUUAUUUAUUUGAAAGGCAGAGUUACAGCGAGUCAGAGAAAGAGAGAAGUCUUGCAUCUGCUGGUUCACUCUCCACAUGGCCACAACAGCUGGAGCUGCAUCUGUUUGGAGCCAGGAGCUUCCUUCAGGUCUCCCAGGUGGCAUUUCAUUGCUUGAUGCCUUUUGUGGAUAUAUCAUACUUUAUACAUCCAGUUGCUGAAUCACAGUAAUAGGCUGAUUCCAUAUUUCAGCUGUUGUGAGUAGCACUGCCGUCAACAUGGAAUGGAGAUAUCCUUUUGACGCACUGAUGUCAUAUCCUUUGGACACAUACCCAGUAAUGGAACUGGGGGAUUUUACUCGGUUCUGUUUUGCUAAAGAGACUUCCAUACUAUUUUCCAUAAUGGUUGUGCUAAUUUGACUUCCCACAAAUACACUAAAAAUUUCACCUGUCUUGAAAUCCAUGCCACCCUUUGUUAUUUUGUGUUUUCUCCAUGGUAGUCAUUCUAACUGGAGUGAGAUGAUAAUCUUAUUCUGGUUUUAACUUGCAUUUUUCUCUUGAUUAAUGAUGUGGAGAAUUUUUCAUGUAACUAUUGGACAUGUGCAUGUCUUCCUUUGAGAUGAGUAUGUUAAGUUCUUCAGCCUAGAUGAAAAGUUGUUGUUUUUUUCUGUUUUGUUUUGUUUUGUUUUGUAUUUUUUAGCCCUGGGUUUUUUGAGAUAAUUGUGUAGUCUGGAUAUUAACUCCUUGUAGAAAACCUGAGGGGAAGUACUGUAUGGCAUUGUAUUGGGGACAGGUUUUGUUACUUACUUUUUGACAUAGAAGCACAGGCUAGACUGGCCUGGGUAGGUGGCUCGGGGCUGCUCCCACACCAGGAAUCUGAAGCAGUGUUAGUGGCCGCGGGCUUAGCAGGUUGGAGCUGGAUGGACCUGAUGCAAGGUGGUGGGCACCACUGGCACAGCACCCCAGCUGGCCACAUGGGGGGAAAGGCCCGGGCCCUGCUGCCCACGUGUGACUCUUGGGGUCUCGGCUGCGUUGCCACUUUGUCCUGGGAGGCCCUGCUACAUGCUGCUGCACUCUAAGAGCUGGGAGCCCAACAAUGCCCUGCAGGUCUAAGGAGCCUGCCCUGGUCCCUGCACUGACUGCAACCACUGGAGAAUGAAAGAGCCCCAGAUAAUAGCAUCCGUGGGCUUGGACAGGGAGCUCAGUGACCUCCUAGACUUCAGCAUGAUGUUCCUGCUGCCCGUGGCCAGUCGAAAGGGCUGGCCUGUCUCCUUGGCCAGCGCACAGUUCAGAGGAGCAGGUCCGGAGGACUGGCCUGGUUCAGGCUCCUGGGACACUGGCGAUCAGAACACCUCCUCCUUCAACCCUGGCCAGAGCUACAGUGAAGGACCCACUUCAGUGAGUCCCACAGCAGCCUUUCUUUCCCAUUUCUGGGACCUGGGACCUGGGCUUGGAGGCAAGGGCGGCCAGUGGGGCGGGUACCCCACCUUCUGGAGAGACACGGCUGUUGGCGGCUUGACUCAGGUCAGGUUCCUGACUGGUGAGCAUUCCCUCUGCAGCCCCGGGCCACUGUCCUUCUCAGACAUCAAGGGAGCACCCAGUACAAUGCCUCCUAACUCGGCAACCCUUGGGCAGAACCUCAGGUGGCCACUGGGCCCACAGCCCAAGAAUGUCGAGAAGUUUCUACCUGUUCUUCCUUCCUCAUUGUACCCCCCACCCCCAAUAUAAUAAAAAUAACUUUUUCAUAUUUAUUUAUUUAAAAAGCAGAGUUACAGAGAGAGAAAGAGAGAGAGAGAGAGAUAUUCCAUCCACUGAUUCACUCUUCAAAUGGCCACAACAGCUGGAGCUGGGCCAAUCCGAAGCCAGGAACCAGGAGCUUCCUCCAGGGUCUCCCACAUGGGUGUAGGGGCCCAAGCACUUGGACCAUCUUCUGCUGUUUUUGGACCACCCUCUUCUGCUUUCCCAGGCAUAUUAGCAAGGAGUUGGAUCAGAAGUGGAGCACCCAGAACUUGAACCGGAACCCAUAUGGGAUGCCGGCACUGCAGGCAAUGGCUUUACCCACUGCACUGCAACACCGGCCUCAAUAAGAAUCACUGUCUUUCUCUCUCUCUCUCUUUUUUUUAAAUAAGUCUUUUUUAACAAUUCUUUUAGAUUUUUGUUUAUUUAAGAGAGAGCGUUACAGACAGUGGGAAGGGGAGACAGAGAGAUCGUCCAUCUGCUAGUUCACUCCCCAAAUGGCUGCAAUGGCUGGAGCUGCACUGAUUGGAAGCCAGGAUCCAGGAGCUUCUUCCGGGUCUCCAGUGCGGGUACAGGGGUCCAAGGGCUUGGGUCAUCUUCUACUGCUUUCCUAGGCCAUAGCAGAGAGCUGGAUUGGAAGAGGAGCAGCCAGGACUAGAACGGGUGCCCAUAUGGGAUGCCGGCGCCACAGGUGGAUUAACCUACUGAGUCACAGCACCGACCCCUGAAUCACUUUCUUUCUAAGACCAGACUUCUAAGAAAAGGGCAGGAAAAGAAACAGAAAAUGUUGGACAUCCAGAAAGAUGUUAAAGACGCAAUUGUGACAAUAGUUUCGGCGAUGAGCACCAUUAGACCCCCAGUUCCACUGGCCAACCCGGAAAACCAGUUUCGAUCAGAUUACAUCAAGAGCAUCACACCUGUCGCUGAUUCUGAGUAUCUGAGUAUUUACAUGCACCCUCUCAUUUCAUCCUCACGACAAAAGGCGUAAAUGCUAUUACAGACCCAACUUUCCUGGGUGCCCCUGAGGUGAAGAAAUUGGUAUCAGUUCUGGGCGCAGCACCAGGUGUGUGUGUGCUACCCUGCCCUAAGCUGUCCCACAUGGGCUCACAGUGAGAUGCAGGGUGGGCUCAGGGAACAGGAACUCUGGAGUGUGCAGAUGGACACAGCAGCAGCCCCGGUGCUCGGAGCCUGGCCAGGUGCGCAGGGGUGUGGACCGACCUUGGACUAAGAGAUGCCCACAGCCAGGCGUGGACACGGGGAUCCCGGCUCAGGCACACCCAGGCUGUGUGACCUUGACCAAACACCUGCUCCCCCGGCAGCCCCUGUUCUCUUUACUGUGGACAGAGCCAGUAUGGCAGCCGCACCGCCUGAGCCAGGAGUCUCUGCAGCCCGGGUGGUGCAGAGCAGAGCUUAGAAACUCAGGUCAGAGCCUAGGAUCCGACGGCACUCAGCACCGGGCACCUCUGUGGCGGCGCUCAGGAAGCACAAGCCAAGCCAACUUUGUGUCCUUGGGGCUGAGGCACCCCUCCCCCCAGGAGGCUCUGGGCCACCUCCUCCCCAGGGGUGCACAGGCUAUGCAGGGGCUGUCACUGCCUCUCUGCCACUGGGCAGCACCGUGCACGCGGCCUCAGCAGCUGGGGGUCCCUCGGCCCACACUUGCUCUGGAG
Molecule: non-coding RNA, 5188 nt
Organism: Oryctolagus cuniculus (rabbit)
Lineage: Eukaryota; Metazoa; Chordata; Mammalia; Lagomorpha; Leporidae
Source: RefSeq, a predicted model, not a curated record